GAUGAACGCUGGCGGCGUGCCUAAUACAUGCAAGUCGAGCGAAGCGGGGACGGGUGAGUAACACGUGGAUAACCUCCUAUAAGACUGGGAUAACUUCGGGAAACCGGAGCUAAACCGGAUAAUUAUAGAUGGAUCUUCGCUGCAUUAGCUAGUUGGUAAGGUAACGGCUUACCAAGGCAACGAUGCAUAGCCGACCGGAGAGGGUUGUCGGACACACGUGAACGGAUACGCGGUCCAGGCUCCUCCGGGAGGCAGCAGUAGGGAAACUUCCGCAAUGGGCGAAAUCCUGGCGGGUAAACGCCGCGUGAGUGAUGGAGGUCUUGGGAUUGUAAAACUCUUUUAUUAGGGAAGCGGUACCUAAUCAGAAAGCCACGGCUAACUACGUGCCAGCAGCCGCGGUAAUUC
This 405-nucleotide ribosomal RNA is filed under the name uncultured bacterium. Its description in RNAcentral is "partial 16S ribosomal RNA". It matches the Rfam family "Bacterial small subunit ribosomal RNA", at positions 28 to 526 of the family's 1533-position model. The record is from RNAcentral.